GGCUCAAUCUGAGGCUACUCAGAUAUUUUCCUGAGCUGCCAUGACUUCUGGUUGCCUGCUGUGAGAAACUGGUACCAGCCAGCUCACUUAAGCUGAUGAAAAAGUCUGAGUUAGAGGUAGGUACUGCCAGAUCUCAAGUUCCAGACUAAUAUUUUAAAACUGUAUUAAUUUAAGUGCCAAGCUGGAAAUGUGCCAUGCAGUUGUUUUUUUUUUUUAAAAAAAAAAACAUUAAUGUAUUUUGAUAAUUAAAUACUCUAGUUAUACCUUGAAAUGUAUUCCGUGAAUCCCAAAUCCUUGACAAACUUUUGUUGGCCAACAAAAUGAAUGCUGAAUUCACUGAGCUGCUGUCUAAAAUCCCAGGGUUUGUGG
This 369-nucleotide long non-coding RNA is filed under the name Gallus gallus (chicken). The record is from RNAcentral. Lineage: Eukaryota; Metazoa; Chordata; Aves; Galliformes; Phasianidae.